This 305-nucleotide ribosomal RNA is filed under the name uncultured bacterium. Its description in RNAcentral is "bacterial SSU rRNA". It matches the Rfam family "Bacterial small subunit ribosomal RNA", at positions 338 to 657 of the family's 1533-position model. The record is from RNAcentral.
CCUACGGGGCGCAGCAGUGGGGGAUAUUGGACAAUGGGGGGAACCCUGAUCCAGCGACGCCGCGUGAGUGAAGAAGUAUUUCGGUAUGUAAAGCUCUGUCAGCAGGGAAGAAAGAAAUGACGGUACCUGACCAAGAAGCCCCGGCUAACUACGUGCCAGCAGCCGCGGUAAUACGUAGGGGGCAAGCGUUAUCCGGAUUUACUGGGUGUAAAGGGAGCGUAGACGGCUGUGCAAGUCUGAAGUGAAAGCCCAGGGCUCAACCCUGGGACUGCUUUGGAAACUGUGGAGCUAGAGUGCUGGGGAGG